RNAcentral lists this long non-coding RNA (428 nucleotides) under Fukomys damarensis (Damara mole-rat). RNAcentral describes it as "lncRNA (ENSFDAG00000032835.1)". Lineage: Eukaryota; Metazoa; Chordata; Mammalia; Rodentia; Bathyergidae. The record is from RNAcentral.
AAAGAAGUAGGUGUGCCCUAAGUGACUGUUCCAUUACUGCGAAGAAGCAAUGUUUGCCUUCCUCAGUAUUUGUCAAACUCGCUGCUGCCGAUCCUGUGGGGCAGGCAGAGAAUGCCCUGCUGGCGAUCGGAAAGCAGAAGUAUCACACACUAGCCCACUGCGUCACUGGACCACCCUUACAGAUGUUAUUAAACACUCACGCUUCCAGAACAUGUUUUCUAGUGUGUAACAUUACCCUUCAUAAAAAAUGAUAUUUUAAAAUGAGAUAGGAUUGGCAACAGAACAACGGGUAGUUAAUGGAAGGAGAAUUAUAAAGCCGUGCUCUGUCGGAUGGAGGAGAGAAAAUAGAAUUUUUCUGAGUUUUCUCUGAGUCACAGGCCAUGGUCCAUAGCCUUUAAAGAGGUGAGCAAUGCUCAGAGCCGGGGAUU